AAGUCGUAACAAGGUUUCCGUAGGUGAACCUGCGGAGGGAUCAUUAACACGUAUCCACGUAUCAACCAACUGUGAACUUGUUUUCAAUCGCCCUGCCGUCUACAUGAAUUGAAGGAGUGAAGAUAAUGAAAUGGGAACUUCGGUUCAGUCUUCAUUCCUAGCUUGUGCCUUCGGGUACAGACAAUUGUAGUAUGUCGGUCAGGCCAACCCUUUCUGCUUGAAACUUCUCCUUUCAUGAAGUAUCAAGUGGGAUAUUAAACACCUAUUUCACCCCCUUUUUGCUAGUUGACUUUUAUAUGUUGUCUUCUUCGUACUUCAUUGUAUGACGAAUUCACACGUUUAUUAAUUGAACGUUAAAUGUACAACUCUUAGCAAUGGAUAUCUUGGUUCUC
Molecule: unclassified non-coding RNA, 392 nt
Filed under: fungal sp.
Lineage: Eukaryota; Fungi
Description: partial internal transcribed spacer region
Rfam family: Eukaryotic small subunit ribosomal RNA (bases 1-46)
Source: RNAcentral